Molecule: transfer RNA, 88 nt
Filed under: Candidatus Saccharibacteria bacterium RIFCSPHIGHO2_12_FULL_42_8
Lineage: Bacteria; Candidatus Saccharimonadota
Also listed under: 1 other name
Description: tRNA-Leu
Rfam family: tRNA
About the family: Transfer RNA (tRNA) molecules are approximately 80 nucleotides in length. Their secondary structure includes four short double-helical elements and three loops (D, anti-codon, and T loops). Further hydrogen bonds mediate the characteristic L-shaped molecular structure. tRNAs have two regions of fundamental functional importance: the anti-codon, which is responsible for specific mRNA codon recognition, and the 3' end, to which the tRNAs corresponding amino acid is attached (by aminoacyl-tRNA synthetases). tRNAs cope with the degeneracy of the genetic code in two manners: having more than one tRNA (with a specific anti-codon) for a particular amino acid; and 'wobble' base-pairing, i.e. permitting non-standard base-pairing at the 3rd anti-codon position.
Source: RNAcentral
GCCGCGGUGGUGGAAUUUGGUAGACACGCUAGACUCAAAAUCUGGUGAGCAUUAGCUCGUGCCGGUUCAAGUCCGGCCCGCGGUACCA